RNAcentral lists this ribosomal RNA (2916 nucleotides) under Vibrio parahaemolyticus. Its description in RNAcentral is "23S ribosomal RNA". It matches the Rfam family "Bacterial large subunit ribosomal RNA". Lineage: Bacteria; Pseudomonadati; Pseudomonadota; Gammaproteobacteria; Vibrionales; Vibrionaceae. The record is from RNAcentral.
GUUGUAUGGUUAAGUGACUAAGCGUACACGGUGGAUGCCUUGGCAGUCAGAGGCGAUGAAAGACGUAGUAACUUGCGAUAAGCCCAGAUUAGGUAGUAACAACCAUUUGAGUCUGGGAUUUCUGAAUGGGGAAACCCACGUGCAUAAGCACGUAUCCUUGCCUGAAUACAUAGGGUAAGGAGGCGAACCGGGGGAACUGAAACAUCUAAGUACCCCGAGGAAAAGAAAUCAACCGAGAUUCCGAAAGUAGCGGCGAGCGAAAUUGGACUAGCCCUUAAGCUUUAUACGCGUUAGACGAACGGUCUGGAAAGUCCGACGAUACAGGGUGAUAGUCCCGUAGUUGACGACGUGUGUUCAGUGAAAUCGAGUAGGGCGGGACACGUGAUAUCCUGUCUGAAUAUGGGGGGACCAUCCUCCAAGGCUAAAUACUACUGACUGACCGAUAGUGAACCAGUACCGUGAGGGAAAGGCGAAAAGAACCCCUGUGAGGGGAGUGAAAUAGAACCUGAAACCGUGUACGUACAAGCAGUAGGAGCAGGCUUUGUCCUGUGACUGCGUACCUUUUGUAUAAUGGGUCAGCGACUUAUAUUCAGUGGCAAGGUUAACCAUCUAGGGGAGCCGUAGGGAAACCGAGUCUUAACUGGGCGUUCAGUCUCUGGAUAUAGACCCGAAACCAGGUGAUCUAGCCAUGGGCAGGUUGAAGGUUGAGUAACAUCAACUGGAGGACCGAACCGACUAAUGUUGAAAAAUUAGCGGAUGACUUGUGGCUAGGGGUGAAAGGCCAAUCAAACCUGGAGAUAGCUGGUUCUCCCCGAAAGCUAUUUAGGUAGCGCCUCGGACGAAUACUACUGGGGGUAGAGCACUGUUAAGGCUAGGGGGUCAUCCCGACUUACCAACCCUUUGCAAACUCCGAAUACCAGUAAGUACUAUCCGGGAGACACACGGCGGGUGCUAACGUCCGUCGUGGAGAGGGAAACAACCCAGACCGCCAGCUAAGGUCCCAAAUUACUACUAAGUGGGAAACGAUGUGGGAAGGCUCAGACAGCCAGGAUGUUGGCUUAGAAGCAGCCAUCAUUUAAAGAAAGCGUAAUAGCUCACUGGUCGAGUCGGCCUGCGCGGAAGAUGUAACGGGGCUAAGUAGUAAACCGAAGCUGCGGCAAUAUACUUUUGUAUAUUGGGUAGGGGAGCGUUCUGUAAGCGGUUGAAGGUGUGUGGUAACGCAUGCUGGACGUAUCAGAAGUGCGAAUGCUGACAUGAGUAACGAUAAAGGGGGUGAAAAACCUCCUCGCCGGAAGACCAAGGGUUCCUGUCCAACGUUAAUCGGGGCAGGGUAAGUCGACCCCUAAGGCGAGGCCGAAAGGCGUAGUCGAUGGGAAACGGGUUAAUAUUCCCGUACUUCUUACAAUUGCGAUGGGGGGACGGAGAAGGCUAGGUGGGCCUGGCGACGGUUGUCCAGGUUCAAGUGCGUAGGCUUAAGAGUUAGGUAAAUCCGGCUCUUUCUAAGGCUGAGACACGACGUCGAGCACCUACGGGUGUGAAGUCAUUGAUGCCAUGCUUCCAGGAAAAGCCUCUAAGCUUCAGAUUGUAAGGAAUCGUACCCCAAACCGACACAGGUGGUCGGGUAGAGAAUACCAAGGCGCUUGAGAGAACUCGGGUGAAGGAACUAGGCAAAAUGGUACCGUAACUUCGGGAGAAGGUACGCUCUUGAUGGUGAAGUCCCUUGCGGAUGGAGCUGACGAGAGUCGCAGAUACCAGGUGGCUGCAACUGUUUAUUAAAAACACAGCACUGUGCAAAAUCGUAAGAUGACGUAUACGGUGUGACGCCUGCCCGGUGCCGGAAGGUUAAUUGAUGGGGUUAGACUUCGGUCGAAGCUCUUGAUCGAAGCCCCGGUAAACGGCGGCCGUAACUAUAACGGUCCUAAGGUAGCGAAAUUCCUUGUCGGGUAAGUUCCGACCUGCACGAAUGGCGUAAUGAUGGCCACGCUGUCUCCACCCGAGACUCAGUGAAAUUGAAAUCGCUGUGAAGAUGCAGUGUACCCGCGGCUAGACGGAAAGACCCCGUGAACCUUUACUACAGCUUGGCACUGAACAUUGACCCUACAUGUGUAGGAUAGGUGGGAGGCUUUGAAGCACGUACGCCAGUAUGUGUGGAGCCGUCCUUGAAAUACCACCCUUGUAGUGUUGAUGUUCUAACGUCGACCCCUAAUCGGGGUUGCGGACAGUGCCUGGUGGGUAGUUUGACUGGGGCGGUCUCCUCCCAAAGAGUAACGGAGGAGCACGAAGGUGGGCUAAUCACGGUUGGACAUCGUGAGGUUAGUGCAAUGGCAUAAGCCCGCUUGACUGCGAGAAUGACAAUUCGAGCAGGUGCGAAAGCAGGUCAUAGUGAUCCGGUGGUUCUGAAUGGAAGGGCCAUCGCUCAACGGAUAAAAGGUACUCCGGGGAUAACAGGCUGAUACCGCCCAAGAGUUCAUAUCGACGGCGGUGUUUGGCACCUCGAUGUCGGCUCAUCACAUCCUGGGGCUGAAGUCGGUCCCAAGGGUAUGGCUGUUCGCCAUUUAAAGUGGUACGCGAGCUGGGUUUAGAACGUCGUGAGACAGUUCGGUCCCUAUCUGCCGUGGGCGUUGGAAGAUUGAAGGGGGCUGCUCCUAGUACGAGAGGACCGGAGUGGACGAACCUCUGGUGUUCGGGUUGUGUCGCCAGACGCAUUGCCCGGUAGCUAAGUUCGGAAUCGAUAACCGCUGAAAGCAUCUAAGCGGGAAGCGAGCCCUGAGAUGAGUCUUCCCUGAUACUUUAAGUAUCCUAAAGGGUUGUCGGAGACUACGACGUUGAUAGGUCAGGUGUGUAAGUGCUGUGAGGCAUUGAGCUAACUGAUACUAAUUGCCCGUGAGGCUUAACCAUACAACACCCAAGGGGUUU